CUGUCUCUUGCUUCAACAGUGUUUGGACGGAAUAG
Myotis lucifugus (little brown bat) is the source of this 35-nucleotide non-coding RNA. The record is from Rfam. NCBI's taxonomy places the organism in Eukaryota, Metazoa, Chordata, Mammalia, Chiroptera, Vespertilionidae.